GAUGAAGAACGUAGCGAAAUGCGAUAAGUAGUGUGAAUUGCAGAAUUCAGUGAAUCAUCGAGUCUUUGAACGCACAUUGCGCCCCCUGGUAUUCCGGGGGGCAUGCCUGUCCGAGCGUCAUUGCUGCCCUCAAGCAGGGCUUGUGUGUUGGGCCUCCGUCCUCCUCCCGGGGGACGGGCCCGAAAGGCAGCGGCGGCACCGCGUCCGGUCCUCGAGCGUAUGGGGCUUCGUCACCCGCUCUUGUAGGCCCGGCCGGCGCUUGCCGACACAUCAAUCUUUUUUCCAGGUUGACCUCGGAUCAGGUAGGGAUACCCGCUGAACUUAAGCAUAUCAAUAAGCGGAGGA
This 345-nucleotide unclassified non-coding RNA is filed under the name soil metagenome. Its description in RNAcentral is "partial contains 5.8S ribosomal RNA, internal transcribed spacer 2, and large subunit ribosomal RNA". The stretch from base 1 to 120 matches the Rfam family "5.8S ribosomal RNA", at positions 35 to 154 of the family's 154-position model. The record is from RNAcentral.